RNAcentral lists this ribosomal RNA (318 nucleotides) under uncultured bacterium. RNAcentral's name for it is "bacterial SSU rRNA". It matches the Rfam family "Bacterial small subunit ribosomal RNA", at positions 541 to 858 of the family's 1533-position model. The record is from RNAcentral.
UUAUCCGGAUUUACUGGGUGUAAAGGGAGCGUAGACGGUUUUGCAAGUCUGAAGUGAAAGCCCGGGGCUUAACCCCGGGACUGCUUUGGAAACUGUAGAACUAGAGUGCAGGAGAGGUAAGUGGAAUUCCUAGUGUAGCGGUGAAAUGCGUAGAUAUUAGGAGGAACACCAGUGGCGAAGGCGGCUUACUGGACUGUAACUGACGUUGAGGCUCGAAAGCGUGGGGAGCAAACCGGAUUAGAUACCCUGGUAGUCCACGCCGUAAACGAUGAUUACUAGGUGUUGGUGGGUACGACCCAUCGGUGCCGCAGCAAACAC